This 735-nucleotide long non-coding RNA is filed under the name Rattus norvegicus (Norway rat). RNAcentral describes it as "long non-coding RNA NONRATT027083". Lineage: Eukaryota; Metazoa; Chordata; Mammalia; Rodentia; Muridae. The record is from RNAcentral.
AGUUAUCUUGGCUCCCAUCCCACAAUGCCUCAGGGUGAGAGAUUUUCCCUCAGCUCUGGAAGCCAAUGUCUAUCAUGAAGGUGAGGCAGGUUGGUUACUGUGAGGGGGACACUCCUGGUGUGCUUUCCAACACCUCGGGAGAGGGAGGUUGUAUGGAGAAAGAGGAAAGAGAGAGAGAGAGAGAGAGAGAGAGAAGGGAGGGAAGAGAGUGUGAGUCAUUGCACAGGACUGCGGAUUAGGGACCCAUGUUUAUACUGAUUAACUAUAAUUACUUCACUCCCAUGGAGACUGUAUCUGUAAAUAUAGAUACCGGGCCUCACGGCUAGAACAUAAGAAACGAAGGACACAGUUCAGAUGGUGACAACACUGGUGACCAACACAUCAACAUAGCUUCCUGGGACAAACGCUCAAGACACGACAUUAAGCACCGGAGGCUCCAUGCCAGGCCGGCUCCUCUACCCUGUCACUGACUUCCUUCUGUUUUCCAUGUAGACAGCAGACACACCAUCAGGGAGCCCCUGGGUAUCUCCAGAACAUGGCAAGCCGUGGAUACCUGCAUCACCUGCUGACUGCAGAGGGAGCCUGGGAGGAGUUUGUAUCAAAGGCCAAGUUGCCCAGGGAUAGGGCAGUGGCCCUCCACAAAGCACUGAGGGAUCUGACAGCACUCUUGGCCAUAGCAGAAAGAGGCAGAUCUCGGAAAGGCUGGAAAGGCAAGGAGAAGUUUGUGAAAGCAUU